GGAGUGGGGCGGGAAAUGCGCUGGGGAGGCGAGGCUGUGCCGGGAUGCUGGGCCCAGCCUCUCCUGGGCCCCUAGAGCCAGCCCGGGAAAGAGGAGUUUAAGACCAAGCAUGUUCUGAGAACACCACACAGCAAGUACUGGGCUACAUGUUGUACAGACAUUCUCAUCAUGUCACUGGAACUUCUCAGCUAACCUGAGCCUUCCAGGGUUUCAGAGAAACUGUGAAGCAGAGGACUCAAUGAAAUGGUGCCUGAACUCCUAACCUGUAAGCUCUGAAAUAAAUAGGUGUUGCUUUAAACCAUUAAGUUUGCAGUAAUUUGUUUAUCUGUAACUAAUAAAGCACCUAUUCAAAAUGUGUCAUCAUCAUGCAGGUCAGAACCUUCUGAAAACCUGGGAAACUUUCUGUAGUCAGAAUCCACUACUCUACCACUAAUGUCUCUUCCAUCCGGCUCUGCAGCACCUGAGCAAAAGACCUCUGCAGCUGAGUCCAAAGAGCAUUCCCAUGUGAACCGAGCAACCAAGUAUCAUCGGAGUGAGUUUGUUAGAUUCUAGCCCCAUCCUGUGCUAGGCCUUAGGUAGACCUCUUACAGCUCACAAGAAAUGCAGUUUAUGAGGAAAGACCAUGAAUCGGGGGGCGGCCCGGGGAGGGUAUUACCAAACAGAUCAGCAUCAGGAACAUCAUUCCCAGAGAGAAAUUUGGCCAAUUGUCAGUUCAAGUACACAUCUCUCCCUCCUUUUACAGCAUAUUGCAAUAGAUUAUAGCCAUGCGAAAUAAUCCAUAAACUUAGCUAAUUCCACCAAACAGAUAGGAAAGAAGGUAGAGUCCUACAAGAGCCUAGUCAGAAUAAGAACUACAGUAAUUUUGCCAAAACCCUGUUAAGUUCUUGAAUAAUUCUGGUCAAAAUGGAUUUCAAUCUGAGUUAACUCACAGUCAACAAUUUGGCUGUUUUUCUUGCUUCUCACUCUACUGCCUUACUCUCUUCCACAGUGUUAAGUAGCCAUUUAAAUGGGUUUGUUCUGCUGCAGGUGGCUGAGCCUGGGAUUUCCAACUUGGGAGACUACACAGUGGACUCUAUAAUGAUUAGUGGCAGCAUCCAAUGUCUCUUCCAAGUCUAAAAUUUGUGAGUUUCAAAGUUGACUCUCCCCAAACCUGGCCUUUGCUGCCUCAGAUUCUGUCACUCUAGCAAGGCAGAGAGAGCAAAAGGGGCAAGACAAACCUCAUCAACAGCACAGAAAUCCCAGAAUCACACACUCUCUGGUCCAGCCAAGCCAAGUGUUUUUUUUUUUGUUGUUGUUGUUGUUUUUUAAAUCACCCUCCA
RNAcentral lists this long non-coding RNA (1319 nucleotides) under Homo sapiens (human). RNAcentral's name for it is "HSALNT0291773". The record is from RNAcentral. Lineage: Eukaryota; Metazoa; Chordata; Mammalia; Primates; Hominidae.